AGCAGCCGCGGUAAUUCCAGCUCCAAUAGCGUAUAUUAAAGUUGUUGCAGUUAAAAAGCUCGUAGUUGAAUUUCGGGGUUAGUAGGUUGGUCAUGCCUCUGGUAUGUACUGGUCUCACUGAUUCCUCCUUCCUGAUGAAUCUUAAUGCCAUUAAUUUGGUGUUUUGGGGAAUUUGGACUGUUACUUUGAAAAAAUUAGAGUGUUUAAAGCAAGCUAACGCUUGAAUACAUUAGCAUGGAAUAAUGAAAUAGGACGUUCGAUCCUAUUUUGUUGGUUUCUAGGGUUGACGUAAUGAUUAAUAGGGAUAGUUGGGGGCAUUAGUAUUCAAUUGUCAGAGGUGAAAUUCUUGGAUUUAUUGAAGACUAACUACUGCGAAAGCAUUUGCCAAGGAUGUUUUCAUUAAUCAAGAACGAAAGUUAGGGGAUCGAAGACGAUCAGAUACCGUCGUAGUCUUAACCAUAAACUAUGCCGACUAGGGAUCGGAUGAUGUUAUUUUUAAUGACUCAUUCGGCGCCUUACG
RNAcentral lists this ribosomal RNA (520 nucleotides) under uncultured Glomus. RNAcentral describes it as "SSU rRNA". It matches the Rfam family "Eukaryotic small subunit ribosomal RNA", at positions 569 to 1092 of the family's 1831-position model. Lineage: Eukaryota; Fungi; Glomeromycota; Glomeromycetes; Glomerales; Glomeraceae. The record is from RNAcentral.